CCCUUAGAUGUCCGGGGCCGCACGCGCGCUACACUGAAGGAAUCAGCGUGGCUUUCUCCCUGACCCGAAAGGGUUGGGAACCCGUUGAAUCUCCUUCGUGAUAGGGAUUGGGGCUUGAAAUUGUUCCCCAUGAACGAGGAAUUCCCAGUAAGCGCGAGUCAUAAGCUCGCGUUGAUUACGUCCCUGCCCUUUGUACACACCGCCCGUCGCUACUACCGAUUGAACGGUUUAGUGAGGGCCUCGGAUUGGUCUCGGCCCGCUCUUUACCGGGCGGCGCCGUUGGUCGAGAAGACGCUCGAACUUGAUCGUUUAGAGGAAGUAAAAGUCGUAACA
RNAcentral lists this ribosomal RNA (333 nucleotides) under uncultured eukaryote. RNAcentral describes it as "partial 18S ribosomal RNA". It matches the Rfam family "Eukaryotic small subunit ribosomal RNA", at positions 1470 to 1796 of the family's 1831-position model. The record is from RNAcentral.